GACGAACGCUGGCGGCGUGCCUAAUACAUGCAAGUCGAGCGGACGAAUCGAAAGCUUGCUUUUGAUUCGUUAGCGGCGGACGGGUGAGUAACACGUGGGCAACCUGCCCUGUAGACGGGGAUAACACCGAGAAAUCGGUGCUAAUACCGGAUAACACGAAAUGUCGCAUGACGUUUCGUUGAAAGACGGCGCAAGCUGUCGCUACAGGAUGGGCCCGCGGCGCAUUAGCUAGUUGGUGAGGUAACGGCUCACCAAGGCGACGAUGCGUAGCCGACCUGAGAGGGUGAUCGGCCGCACUGGGACUGAGACACGGCCCAGACUACUACGGGAGGCAGCAGUAGGGAAUCUUCCGCAAUGGACGAAAGUCUGACGGAGCAACGCCGCGUGAGAGAAGAAGGCCUUCGGGUCGUAAAGCUCUGUUGUUAGGGAAGAACAAGUAACGCAGUAACUGGCGUUACCGUGACGGUACCUAACGAGAAAGCCACGGCUAACUACGUG
RNAcentral lists this ribosomal RNA (498 nucleotides) under uncultured bacterium. RNAcentral describes it as "partial 16S ribosomal RNA". It matches the Rfam family "Bacterial small subunit ribosomal RNA", at positions 28 to 507 of the family's 1533-position model. The record is from RNAcentral.